RNAcentral lists this long non-coding RNA (430 nucleotides) under Gallus gallus (chicken). Lineage: Eukaryota; Metazoa; Chordata; Aves; Galliformes; Phasianidae. The record is from RNAcentral.
UGAUGGCGUCGAUGGGAACUCCUUCCGGGUCGUCCCAACGCGGGUCCAUAAUGGGGCACUGAUCGGCCGGGGCGCAGAAACGCGAGUUGGGGUGGGCGCACGGCUCGGGGUCACCGUGCUUCCACGGCUUGCCCAGCCAGGAGGUGUAGGUGACCCCGGGCUCCGUGGGUUCAUCCAGGCCGUCCCAGUAGACGCCGCCAUCGCUUCGCAGCCCCACGUUGGUGAAGAUGGUGUUGCGGGCGAUGGUGGCCAUGGCGUUGGGGUUGGUGCGCGACGACGUCCCCGGGGCCACCCCAAAAAAGCCACACUCGGGGUUGAUGGCGCGGAGGCGGCCCUCAUCAUCGAACUUCAUCCACGCAAUGUCGUCCCCGACGCAGUGGAUCCGCCAACCCGGCAGGCUGGGGGUCAUCAUGGCCAGGUUGGUUUUCCC